UGAGGAAUAUUGCACAAUGGGGGCAACCCUGAUGCAGCAACGCCGCGUGGAGGAUGAAGGCUUUUGAGUUGUAAACUCCUUUUCUGAGGGAAGAGUAAGGACGGUACCUCAGGAAUAAGGCCCGGCUAACUACGUGCCAGCAGCCGCGGUAAUACGUAGGGGUCAAGCGUUGUCCGGAAUUAUUGGGCGUAAAGAGCGUGUAGGCGGCCUGGUAAGUCUGCCGUGAAAACUUGGGGCUCAACCCUGAGCGUGCGGUGGAUACUGCUUGGCUAGAGGAUGGUAGAGGCGAGUGGAAUUCCCGGUGUAGCGGUGAAAUGCGCAGAUAUCGGGAGGAACACCAGUAGCGAAGGCGGCUCGCUGGGCCAUUCCUGACGCUGAGACGCGGAAGCUAGGGGAGCAAACAGGAUUAGAUACCCCCGUAGUCC
This 425-nucleotide ribosomal RNA is filed under the name uncultured prokaryote. Its description in RNAcentral is "bacterial SSU rRNA". It matches the Rfam family "Bacterial small subunit ribosomal RNA", at positions 355 to 796 of the family's 1533-position model. The record is from RNAcentral.